This 469-nucleotide ribosomal RNA is filed under the name uncultured bacterium. RNAcentral's name for it is "bacterial SSU rRNA". It matches the Rfam family "Bacterial small subunit ribosomal RNA", at positions 29 to 506 of the family's 1533-position model. The record is from RNAcentral.
AUGAACGUUGGCGGCGUGUCUAAGGCAUGCAAGUUGAGCGACGCGCCAUGUACCGCAAGGUACGUGGUGGCGAGCGGCAGACGGGUGCGUAACACAUUGGUAACCUACCUUCGAGACGGGGACAGCUUUCCGAAAGGAAAAUUAAUACCCGAUGGUCAUGGGGGGACAAAAGUCAUUCCCAUGUAAAGAUUUAUCACUCGAAGAGGGGCCUAUGGCCUAUCAGCUAGUUGGCGAGGUAAUGGCUCACCAAGGCUAUGACGGGUAGGGGAUGUGAGAGCAUGAUCCCCCUCACUGGGACUGAGACACUGCCCAGACUCCUACGGGAGGCUGCAGUCGAGAAUAUUCCGCAAUGCGCGAAAGCGUGACGGAGCGACGCCGCGUGCAGGAUGACGCCCUUCGGGGUGUAAACUGCUUUUAGUAGGGAAGAAUUUGUGACGGUACCUACUGAAUAAGAGGUUGCUAACUCUGU